AGCAGCCGCGGUAAUUCCAGCUCCAAUAGCGUAUAUUAAAGUUGUUGCAGUUAAAAAGCUCGUAGUUGAAUUUCGGGAUUGGCGCAUCGGUCGUGCCUCACGGGGUAUGAACUGGUGCAGUCAAUUUCUCACCUUCUGGAGAACCGCGAUGUCCUUAAUUGGAUGCCGCGGGGAACCAGGACCUUUACUUUGAAAAAUUAGAGUGUUUAAAGCAGGCAUUUUUGCUUGAAUACAUUAGCAUGGAAUAAUAAAAUAGGACGGCAUGGUUCUAUUUUGUUGGUUUCUAGGACCACCGUAAUGAUUAAUAGGGAUAGUUGGGGGCAUUAGUAUUCAAUUGUCAGAGGUGAAAUUCUUGGAUUUAUUGAAGACUAACUAUUGCGAAAGCAUUUGCCAAGGAUGUUUUCAUUAAUCAAGAACGAAAGUUAGGGGAUCGAAGACGAUCAGAUACCGUCGUAGUCUUAACCAUAAACUAUGCCGACUAGGAAUCAGACGAUGUUAAUUUUUUGAUUGACUCGUUUGG
This 520-nucleotide unclassified non-coding RNA is filed under the name uncultured Entrophospora. RNAcentral's name for it is "SSU rRNA". It matches the Rfam family "Eukaryotic small subunit ribosomal RNA", at positions 569 to 1083 of the family's 1831-position model. Lineage: Eukaryota; Fungi; Glomeromycota; Glomeromycetes; Entrophosporales; Entrophosporaceae. The record is from RNAcentral.